Molecule: ribosomal RNA, 253 nt
Filed under: uncultured bacterium
Lineage: Bacteria
Description: partial 16S ribosomal RNA
Rfam family: Bacterial small subunit ribosomal RNA
Source: RNAcentral
UACAGAGGGUGCAAACGUUGCUCGGAAUUAUUGGGCGUAAAGCGCAUGUAGGCGGCAUAGUAAGUUCGCUGUGAAAGCCCUUGGCUCAACCAAGGAAGUGCAGCGAAAACUGCUAAGCUCGAGUUCUGAAGAGGGUCGCGGAAUGGCCAGUGUAGAGGUGAAAUUCGUAGAUAUUGGCUAGAACACCAGUGGCGAAGGCGGCGACCUGGGAAGAUACUGACGCUGAGAUGCGAAAGCGUGGGGAGCAAACAGG